RNAcentral lists this non-coding RNA (632 nucleotides) under Hordeum comosum. RNAcentral's name for it is "partial transfer RNA-Leu". The stretch from base 3 to 252 matches the Rfam family "Group I catalytic intron". The record is from RNAcentral. Lineage: Eukaryota; Viridiplantae; Streptophyta; Magnoliopsida; Poales; Poaceae.
CGCUACGGACUUGAUUGUAUUGAGCCUUGGUAUGGAAACCUGCUAAGUGGUAACUUCCAAAUUCAGAGAAACCCUGGAAUUAAAAAAGGGCAAUCCUGAGCCAAAUCCGUGUUUUGAGAAGGGAUUCUCGAACUAGAAUACAAAGGAAAAGGAUAGGUGCAGAGACUCAAUGGAAGCUGUUCUAACGAAUCGAGUUAAUUACGUUGUGUUGUUAGUGGAAUUUCUUCUAAUUCUAAAUUAGAGAAAGAGGGGUUUUAUACUUUAUACAUUUAAUAAACACGUAUAGAUACUGACACUGACAUAGUAAACGAUUAAUCACAGAACUCAUAUUAUAAUAUAGGUUCUUUAUCUUUUUAAAAAUUUCUAAAUAAAAUUAGAAAUGAUUAUGAAAUAAAAAACUCAUAUCAUAAUUUUAUUUUGAAUUAUUGUGAAUCCACUCCAUUCGAAUAUUGAAUAAUCAAAUUCUUCAAUUCAAAUUCAAAGUUUUGAGAACUUUAAAAAAGUGGAUUAAUCGGACGAGGACAAAGAGAGAGUCCCAUUCUACAUGUCAAUACUGACAACAAUGAAAUUUCUAGUAAAAGGAAAAUCCGUCGACUUUAUAAGUUGUGAGGGUUCAAGUCCCUCUAUCCCCA